GCCCUGGACGGGUGAAGACAGCGCACCUCCAAGGUAUGCCUCGGAGAGAAGCAUUUUAAAUCUUCUGAAACGAGAUGCAGACAGACAAAACGAAACAGGACAAAGACGUCACUGAGGGCACUGCCAACACUUCUGGAGCUUGUCCUGAAGAGCCAUUCGUGUGCUUGGACUGAUCUCCCGUCUUGUGCUCUUGGCAUUGGUGCAGGAUCCUGCAUGUACAUUUGCAGGGGCAAGGCAAGGGAUGAAGAGAACUGACCUACCAUGUGCCUCCUUGGCAUCAGACACACCCCUGGACACUUGCUCUAUGUCACCUCUUCUGAAUCUUCACCAUGAUCCUGUAAGCCGGGUAGCAUUAGCUGCACUGUAUUGAUAAGGAAACUGAAGCUCACAAAGACGAAAUGCUUGCCAACAAUCUCACAUCUAGGAAGUGGUACCAAGCUGGGAUUGAGACUUGAGCCCAUGAGACUUUAAAGCUCCCUCUCAAUUUUCUUUGGGGAUGUGUAUAUAGGUGGGGAAGCUAUACAGAAAAUAAAAAAAAUCUUUAUAUAAAAGCUGGGGGGUCCAGACAUGGUGGCUCACACCUGUAAUAAUCCUAGCACUUUCGGGGCUGAAGCAAAAUGUUUGCUUGAACCCAGACAUUCAAGACAAGCCUGGGCAAUAUAACAAGACCUCAUCUCCACAAAAAUAAAAAAAAAAAAUAAUAAAAAAAACAGCUGGGCAUGGUGGCUUAUACCUGUAGUCCCACCUACUUGGGAGGCUGAGGUGGGAGGAUUGUUUGAGCCCAGGAGGUCGAGGCUGCAGUGAGCCAACAUCAUGUCACCACACUCCAGCCUGGGGGAUAGAGGGAGACCCUGACUCAAAUAAAUACAUAAAUACAAUAAAAUAAAAAUAAAUAAAUAAAAACUGGGGGAGGGUUCUGUUUCCCUCUGGGGGAGGGAGAGAAUUUUAAUCUAGAGGGGAUACUCAGAGACUCCUGGAGUCCUCACUCACAAUAUUUCAUUUUUAAUCUGGGUGGUGGUUACACAGGGUGUUCAUGUUGUAAAUAAUCCUUUAGACUAUCCAUACAUGUUUUAUGGACUUUUGUGCACCUCACCGAUAUCUUACAAUAACAAAUUACAAACAAAAAAGAGUCCCUAUUAUUUUUGCAUCCAGUGAUUUCUUCAGUAUAUCACCAGAACGGCAUCUGAAAUGACUGUGUCAGACACCAGAGUACAACCUGGUAAGAAAUGCAUGCAAUCAUGAGAUUUCUGCGUUUUUUUUUGCAUUUUAUUGCUCCCAGCAAAAGUUAAAUUUUACAAUAACAGUAAAAAUAUACUAGUUAAAACUCAAGCGAUUGAUAUGUAUCUAUUGAGGUCCUUGUAUACAAUAUUCUAGGUGCCAUGGAGGUUACAAAGGUGUCCUUGCCUUUUGGAUCUCAGGAUCACCUUGAGGAGGAGGCAAGACAGAGACACAGAAUGAGAGAAUUAACUAAGUGAGGUCAACAAAUAAUGAGUGGUACAGAGAGGAAGUGCGACAGAAAUCCACGUGUCUAAGCUUCGCAGAGGGGAGAGAAUUUCAUUGAGGCUUGAAGGAUGUAUGAACUUCAGACAGGUCAAGAGGAAGCAGAAUUACAAGCACAAAGACAUAGUAAUGAGAAGAGGCUCGCUGUCUUGCAGAGACUAAUGUUGACCAGUUUGGAGUGGGGAACUCACAAUGGGAAAUUAUAAGAGAUAGGCUUAAAAGAGAACUUGACCUCCAAAACCUUGUGUGAUCUGGCCCAAACUUUGUCUAGCUGCCUGAAUUUGUUGGAAUCACAUGAUUUAAUAUAAACAUUGCAUAAUGUUAAAUGUGAUUUAAAUGCUUCUCAAGGGAGAAGCAGGGGCACAAAUGUUGCUACAGAGGGCAGGCAAAUGCUAUGUAAAUAAGGGGUAAAAAUUGAGUGUGGGGAGGUUGGGCUAGAGAUGAUAAUGGAUGGAAGAACUGGAGAAGUGCUGGCUGUGGGAGGAUGAGAAGGUGAGUUCAAGUGAUAAGUCAAAGAUGCACACUGGGGCUAUGAAAAGAUGGGUUGUAUUUAGAGAAAAGGAUGGAGUGUCUGACCCCAUUCUCUUUCAAGGUGGAGUGCAUCUUGGAGCUGGGAAAGGAGACGAAGGUGGUAGAAGUGUUAGGAGAGGAGCCUGCGGGUAGGGGAAGUUAAGGAGAGAAUGGGAAAUGUAUUAAUGACUUUGUGGUAUUGAAAUAAAACAGUUCCCUGAUUAAUUCGUUUCCUCCAAUACGACCAAACUCACACCAACACUUUGGCAUGCCACAGAUCACCCCCAAGAGUGACUCCACAGCCAUCAGCCACCAUCCCCACCAUCCCAGGCAGUGGCAGCCAGGCAGAGGAAGUGGUCCAAGAAACCUCCCUGUCUGCAGUUCAGUUUCUACUCAUACUUCUCAUAAAGUCAUGACCCUGGCCAUGAAUCUCCCAUCCCUGGAAACCCAGAAGGACGCUCUCCCUUCUGGACGCAUUCCUCCUCCAGGCAUAACUUCCAACACGAAGGUCAGAAUGAAUGCGAGUCGCCCAGAGCCCCACACCCAGCCCUGGGAAGGGCGAUUCCCUCUGGGAAUUCUGCCAGCACAAUGUUGCCUCAAUUUGAAGACAAAUUUUAAAUUAAUAAAGAAAAAAAAAAGCCUCAGACUCUCACGUCUGCCAAAACACACCAUUCCCUGAAAGGUUCCUGAAAAGGACUCAGUGAUGUACUAUAAAGAAAGCGCCAACCUUCCAUAGCCUUCUCCAGCUGCGAGACGCAGACUGGCGGGUCCUGGAAAGGUAACAGCUCACAGCCGCCUUCCCGGGGGCAGCGCAGUGUUGUUCUUGGAUCGAGAAGACCUUUCAGCUGCCUUACCACCUGUGUAUUUCACAGUCUUGCAGUUCCCUAAACCCCUAUGAACAACACAGAACGAACAGACCCGUGGCCAACAGAAAACCCUGAGAAAAGUACUGGAAGAAAGAGUGUGGUUGGUUUAAGAUAGAAAUGAUGUGAAGGUUGCAGUGCGUGCCCUGCAGUUUUCAAAGCCUGCAUCGCUAAAAUCAUCACAGGAAUAGAAGUGUCCUUGUCAGCUGCUCUUUUCUUUAGCAGAGAAUCUCUCAAACAGCCUCAGGCCACAAAAUCACUUCCUGAGGAACUCUUGGUAACUGAAUGCCUCUCCAAGUAGCAGGGACCCACACACUGGAAU
This 3195-nucleotide long non-coding RNA is filed under the name Homo sapiens (human). Its description in RNAcentral is "HSALNT0159289". Lineage: Eukaryota; Metazoa; Chordata; Mammalia; Primates; Hominidae. The record is from RNAcentral.